RNAcentral lists this ribosomal RNA (433 nucleotides) under uncultured bacterium. RNAcentral's name for it is "partial 16S ribosomal RNA". It matches the Rfam family "Bacterial small subunit ribosomal RNA", at positions 29 to 507 of the family's 1533-position model. The record is from RNAcentral.
AGCGAACGCUGGCGGCAGGCCUAACACAUGCAAGUCGAACGAACUCUUCGGAGUUAGUGGCGGAUGGGUGUGUAAAACGUGGGAACGUGCAUUUUGGCACGGGAAAAUACAGGGUAACUUGUGCUAAUAUAGAAUGAGUUCCUCGGGGGACAGAUUCGACGUAAUUGGUGAGGCCCGCGUCCUUCUGGCUUGUUGGUGAGGUAACGGCCCACCAAGGCGACGAUCAGUAGCUGGUCUGAGAGAAAGACCAGCCACACUGGGACUGAGACACGGCGCAGACUCCUGCGGGAGGCAGCAGUGCGGAAUCUUGCGCAAUGGGCGAAAGCCUGACGCAGCCAGGCCGCGUGAAUGAUGAAGGUCUUAGGAUAGUAAAAUUCUUUCACCGGGGACGGUAAUGACGGUACCCGGAGAAGAAGCCCCGGCUAACUUCGUG